RNAcentral lists this ribosomal RNA (467 nucleotides) under uncultured bacterium. RNAcentral describes it as "partial 16S ribosomal RNA". It matches the Rfam family "Bacterial small subunit ribosomal RNA", at positions 28 to 507 of the family's 1533-position model. The record is from RNAcentral.
GACGAACGCUGGCGGCGUGCUUAACACAUGCAAGUCGAACGGAAAGGCCUCGUUCGGGGGGUACGCGAGUGGCGAACGGGUGAGUAACACGUGAGUAACCUGCCCUUGACUUUGGGAUAACUUCAGGAAACUGGGGCUAAUACCCGAUAGGAGCGCCUGCUGCAGGGUGGGGGGUGUGAAGUUUCAGCGGUUGGGGAUGGGCUCGCGGCGUAUCUGCGUGUUGGUGGGGGAGUGGCUUACCAAGGCGUUGGCGGGUAGACGGCCUGGGAGGGUGACCCGCCACCAUGGGGCUGAGGGAAGGCCCCGGAUGCCAAGGGGGGGCACAGUGGGGAAUAUUGCACCAUGGGUGGCAGGCUGAUGCCGAAAGCCCGUGUGCGGGAUGACGGGCUUCGGGUUGUAAAACGGUUUCGGUCUUGAACAAGGUGUGUGUGACGGUAGUGGGUAAAGAAGCACCGGCUAACUACGUG